AAUCAUAUAUUAAAUAAAACUGUUGGAUUACAAUAGUGCAUAUUACACAAGAAAAAUCAUCCAAAUGGGAAGUAUAAUCUAAAUGUUUCUUGACGGCGAAACUUAAAUUAAAAGCAUCCAUAAACAUCCCUACAACGUAACUAAAACACAAUCGAGGAACAUCAUCCCUACAACUUAAUUAAAACUGACACCAUCCGUCUUCAUCAUCAUGAACAGGAACAUCAUCAUCAUCAUCCUUGUAGUAUACUUGCCCCACACACCAAUAGAAUCAUCCAUUUAUCUUUUGAAUCUACAAACAAAAAAACAAAAUGAACUGUUAACACACACAAUGCAUUGACAUGAUGCAAGUAGUCAUAGAGGUAGGAUAUUACUCACUUACAAAGGUUGAGAUGCAAAAACAAAUCUGCAUUACCAAGAGUAUUGCAGUUUUUGCGACUCCGUACCCAAUCUUCAGUUUUCACAAGUGCCAUAUCAACAUGCACUACCCAAAAUUCAUUAGUAAUUUCAGCACCAUCAAGUUCAAAUUUAGGAUCACAACUUACAACUGUAGCAAGAGCUACAUGUGUUACGAUUUUUUAGGCUCAUUAAAAAUACUUUUGUUCCUACCUGUUAGAGAAAAUCAAAGUUACCAUUGAAAGAAUCAUGUCAAGCAAAAUAAUUAAUAGAAACGUGACAUAUAACAGAAAAGGUUGAGAGGCCAAGACAUGUCGUGUUUGCAUCUUCCCCUCUACUAUAUGGUUAUGAAUACAUCUACAGGUUAAUCUC
This 765-nucleotide long non-coding RNA is filed under the name Triticum aestivum (bread wheat). Its description in RNAcentral is "long non-coding RNA (TAES_LNC019297)". The record is from RNAcentral. Lineage: Eukaryota; Viridiplantae; Streptophyta; Magnoliopsida; Poales; Poaceae.